RNAcentral lists this ribosomal RNA (605 nucleotides) under uncultured bacterium. RNAcentral's name for it is "bacterial SSU rRNA". It matches the Rfam family "Bacterial small subunit ribosomal RNA", at positions 28 to 591 of the family's 1533-position model. The record is from RNAcentral.
AACGAACGCUGGCGGCGUGGAUUAGGCAUGCAAGUCGAACGGGAUUCUAAACGUUCAAGUUUUCGGACGAGAAUGUUUGGAUGAGAGUGGCGAACGGGUGAGUAACGCGUGGGUAAUUUGCCCAUGAAGUUGGGGAUAGCCAAUCGAAAGGUUGGAUAAUACCGAAUGUGGUCGUCUUCCGCAUGGAAGACUAUCUAAAGGUGGGGAUCCGCAAGGACCUGCCGCUUCUGGAUAAGCCCGCGUCCCAUCAGCUUGUUGGUGAGGUAACGGCUCACCAAGGCUUACGGGUAGCUGGUCUGAGAGGAUGGUCAGCCACACUGGGACUGAGACACUGCCCAGACUUCUACGGAAGGCUGCAGUCGAGAAUCAUUGUCAAUGCACGAAAGUGCGAACAUGCGACGCCGCGUGCAGGAUGAAGGCCUUCGGGUUGUAAACUGCUGUCUUGAAAGAACAAUAGCACGGGGGUGAAUAGCCCGAUGUGUGUGAUGGUAUUUCAGGAGGAAGCCACGGCUAACUCUGUGCCAGCAGCCGCGGUAAUACAGAGGUGGCAAGCGUUGUUCGGAUUUACUGGGCGUAAAGGGUGCGUAGGCGGCUCCGUAUGUCGG